Molecule: non-coding RNA, 45 nt
Organism: Schistosoma margrebowiei
Lineage: Eukaryota; Metazoa; Platyhelminthes; Trematoda; Strigeidida; Schistosomatidae
Source: Rfam
ACCCAUCUGACGAGUUCCAAAUAGGAUGAAACGCACGUCCUAUAU